This 5967-nucleotide long non-coding RNA is filed under the name Brassica napus (rape). RNAcentral describes it as "long non-coding RNA (BNAP_LNC008879)". Lineage: Eukaryota; Viridiplantae; Streptophyta; Magnoliopsida; Brassicales; Brassicaceae. The record is from RNAcentral.
CUGACCAGCCAAAGCCUUGGCCAGUGCGUUCACUUCAACGAUCUUCUGGGCAGCAUACGCCAACCAUGACUAGAUUUCGUCGUCAAGCUUGGUCUCGUUUACAAGAUCGACGGCGGUGUGGAGAAGAGAGCAGGAGGUUGAGACUACAAGCUUGUCUGAAUCAAUGCAGAAAGAUAUAACAGGUCAACGGUUGAAAUUUUUGUUUCUCAGUAAUCCCUUAGUAUAUUGUCGGUGACUCGGUAAAAGGAAGAUGAUUAUGGAAGCACUUAUAUUAUAUACCUUUUCCAACAACACCCUCAAGUGCCUCCAAGGUGCUGAGGGACGCAGCAAAGUCGUUGGCCCAGAUGUUCCUUCCAUCAACAACACCAGCGAAGAGGUACUUUCCCUCGGGGAAACCAGCCUUGACCAAAUCAAGGGUCUUGGUGCCACGAACCAAGUCAAAUCCAAAGGCAGUCACACCCUUCAACGAAGUCAGGGUCUUGUAUGCUUCAGCAGGGAUAUCAGCGAAGUAAGUCUCAACAAGAACAUUCAAACCAGAAAGAGUUGAUUCAAGUUCAGCAUAGGCUCCAGUGAAGGCCUGGAGUUUGUGGCCCUCAAGAUCCAUAACGAGAACAGGCUCGUCGAGCUGAAUCCAGGUGGCACCAGCAGCCUUAAGCUCGGUGAUCACUUCCCUGUAGACAAAUCAAAGUAAUAAUGUCAGUGUUGGAUUACCAAUAACAUCAAGGACAUGGAUUGAAAAGUAAAAGAAAGAAUAAAGUGGUUGCAUACUUGUAGACAGGGAGAAUUUUGGGGAGAAGAGAGAGAAGGUCAAAUGACUUCUCCACACCCUUGGCAGCCUUAGAAAGCAACAAGUAAGAGACUGGGCCAACAAGUACAGGGACGGUGUCAACACCAAGCUGCAUAAACAUCAAGCUUAUCGGAUCAGAACUUUAGAUAGAAACUACUUUUGGUGCACAAAAGACAACCAGCGUCAAACUAAUCUUUAACAACUAUUCUAUCAACCGGUUGUAUUUUGUGAGUAAGCAAGCGAGUAUAUUCUUAACGUAUCAACAUCUUCUGUGAAAACCAUUCAAUAUAUCUAAAUUCAAACACUGAAUCCACGAACCCAAGUCUAUGAUCUCCAAUAAAUAGUUAUUUAUUAGUAAAUGGAUGAUAAUAAUAAAGAAAGAUACUUACAGCCUUGGCCUCCUUGUACUCAUUCACAGCCUUGUGAGAUGCGUAAGAGAACUUAACGUCAGGGCCCAACUCAGGAACAAUGUAAUGGCUGCACCAAUUAAACAUCAUUACAUUUUUCCACAACUAAGAAAAACAAACAACGUCACUGCAAGACUGCAAGAUCAGAGUUGGAGACUCACUAGUUGGUGUCAAACCACUUGGUCAUCUCCAUGGCGGGAACAGAGGCGUUACCUCUAGCCAUGGAGAAGUAAACAUCCAAACCGAUCUCACCACUGGUGUAACCGUAUCUGGGUGGAACAGCACCGAGCAUGGCGGUGGUGUCGAGAACCUGGUCGUAGUGAGCAAAGGUGUUGCUGGGGAUGUACUUGGUCCCAGCCUCAGACAUCUGCUUCCAGAUGUUAGCCCUGAGAUCAGCGGACACCUUCUGAAGAUCCUCAGCAGUGCUCUUUCCAUCCCAGAAUGAUUCCAAUGCGAACUUGAGCUCUCUCUUAGGGCCCAUACGUGGGUAUCCAACAAUGUGUGACGCCAUUUUGAUUUCUUUUUUUUUACUGCAUCAAACACAAACCAAAUCAAGAUCAGUAUCAAAUAGUAAAAUACAUUCUCUCUUUCAUAACUUUGUUAAUAUAAUAAUAAUAAAUAAGUUUCAUACUCCAAGAAAGCUGCAACUACAGUUCACGUGUUAACAAAUUAAAAUAAAAUAAAAUCGAAAAGUAGAGCUAUAGCAGCUUUUGUCGUAUUAAUGAUUGAAUGAGUCCACUUCAAAGUAGAAUCGAAAACUUUUAGAUCAAAAUCACAUGCAACAUUUGAUGAUGAUUCAAAGCGGAUCUAACACAGACCAAUGAUCAUUUUCGAACGAUGAAUAUAGAUCGCAGAUCAGAUCCAGAUCUACAGAUCGACCGACACCAAAAAAAAAAAACUCAGAUCUGCAAAUGAUGAGCUCUCUCACCGUUUAGAUCUCAGUGAUAAACACGCAAUACGAACAAACGGAUCGGGGAGGAAUGAGCUAAUAUAUUUGAAUUUAAAAAAAUCACACUCGGUAAGUAAUAAACAAUAACGUGGAGACGAAAACGAAAUGAGAAGGGGAAGGGAGCUAAAUAAGGGAGACGUGGGGAAGCCAUAAAAUCUCGGAGACGUACCUCACGGAGGAAGAAUCGGAGAAAGAGGUUUGGCUACGAUGAAGAGAGAGCGAGGAAGGAGAGUGGCUCUGUGAGUUUAUUUAUAGAUACAAUCGUUGGGCUCUGUGUGAUGUGUAGAUCUGGUGGUGGAUAUUUUAAGCAAUAAUCAUAUAUUUCAACAUUUUAUUUUAUUUAGUUUUUCUCUCAUUUUCUUUCUUUCUAAUACGGCUAUUUAUGUGUUCUGAUUUUCUGAGAUCAUUUUCUAAUUUUCUUACCAUAAUUAAGAAAAUUAAUUACUUUUAGAUUGUAAAAGUAAAACUAGACCAAAAAAGGAACAUGUAUGGACGGAACUAUGAGCAAUUUUAUUUGUUCUUCAAUGUAUUUUUAGCUAGGUAUGUAUUUUUAUUUUUUAGCCUUAAGCAUUUAAAAUGUUAACAGUUUAUACAUGGAUACUUGGAUUAUUUUUUAAGAACGAACUUUUAGAUGAUAUCUUAACGAAUUGACAGGAAUAUCGUAAUUACAAAUUUGUAAAAUACCGGUAAUGGUAUUAAAUAUUUUCAUUAGUAAAGCUAAAUCAUUUUUACAGCAGUAAAGUCCAAUCAUUUAAUUAAAACGUAUUUAUAAAAGUAUAUUAAAGCGAUUAAAUAGAGGAUUAAAACGUGAAGGGGAGUUGGUGUCUACGUAUAUGAGGGAUUAGUAGUAGUGGGUCCUACGGAGGUUGGUGGAGAUUCACAUUUCACAGUGAAGUUUCUGUUAAAUACGGCUGCGUUUAGUGUCGGCCCGAAGAGUAUCGACAUCGAGGCCUGUUCCGCAGUGUUUUGAAAACCAAGUUGGAGUGGUUAUUGAACCUGAUUAUUUUUGAUGAAUUUGAUUUUUUGCUUCAAUACUUUUUGGAAUGUUAUUAUUAGAUUCAUACAAGUUAAAUUUUCGCUAGUUAACAUGUAACUAUUUCGAUGAUGGUUCAUUUUCCUCUUUAUACAGUGGUCAGUAAAUACUAGUAGUAUUCAUCUUUUUUUUUUUGGAUCAAACUAGUAGUAUUCAUCUAUCACCCACCAAUAAAAGCUUAGGCAACUGAGAUAAACUGGAUCAAAAUAUUUUGGUGGAUGAAUAUAGUAGUAGGUAAUGAAAGGGAGAUUAUGGAUCCAUGAUGUAUAUGUUAUUGUUUUAAGAUUCAUAAACAAAGUGAUGAGUGCUCUUUUACCAAAAAAAAAAAGAAAAAAAAAAAAAAAGAAGUGAUGAGUGGUCUUCAUCUUGUUGUUUGCUUUGAUAAUUCGGCCACCAAACAUUGAUUCUAUUAACGUCAUCGCUUCCCUUGAUUACAUGGUAAUUAUCCUUCUCGUCUUAUUUUACUGAAUUUUUGGGUGUAUUUUGAAUAUUAGUGAUAUUCACAAGACUCAACAGUCCAUAUCACAUACUGCUAAUAGAUUACGAAUAUAAUAUUUAUGCACAGUGAGAUAAGUAUGUUAUAUCUUAUACCAGUCGUUAAUCCUCAGUUUUAUUACGCAACUCAAAGUCUAACCUAUAGAAUAGCACAUACACUAGUUGAUUAUUAAUUAUAAAGCUCUUUUGCGUGACUUGUAAGAUUAUUCUAAGUUCAACAACUAGUUUGGAACUGUGUAGGUCUAUUUUAAGAGAUGACGUUGUUGCAAACUCAGAAAACAGUCAACAAAGUGCUGCUUUUCCUUACGGACGCCAACAAAAUGCUUAUUAAAGACUGUUUGACACAAUAUGGAUACUAAAUUAUAGGCUAACUAUAUAGUUUGUAUUAGUUUUAUUACUAGCAAUUGUCAAUCGCACGGCAUAAGUUUAACAGCAGUUACAUGUGACUUUACAAGAAGAUUUGCAUAUGCAUCCUUAAAGUUGUUUUGUCGGUGGAUUUAGAUCUACCAUCAUAAUAACAGCAAAAGUCGUACGAGCAUUUAAUGAAAAUUCUCCUUUUCUUUUUUCAUUUUCAUUUUAUUGUUCUGCAACCUAAACAAGUAAUACCAUAAUCAAGCUCAAACGAAAAAAAAAGAAGAAGAAGAUCUGUAAUAUACUUUAUGAAAUUAUUGAACUAAUUCGUAUGCGAAUUGUGAAAAUUAUACGACUUAUGAUAUAUGGUGUACGCAUCCCUUUUUUUUUGCCAUCUUGAGUUUGGUAGAUCGUUUAGUAAACGAAUCACAAGAUCCAAAAACAUCCUUAUUGCUGGCUUAUUAAACUUUGUGAUUAAACUAUGAUAAAGGAAUGCUUUUAGGCAUGUGACAUAUUACAUGAUUACAUAUGCAUUAUGAUUUGAAUUGAAAUAUGAUAAUUUAAAUAAUUUAUAAAUCUUUUGUAAUGUAUACAUGCUAAUUUAAAGAACACAAAGACUAAGAAAUUAUUCAUCUAAUCUCAAUCACAAGGCUCCAUGUUAAAAGUGAGUAAAACAUGAAAAUGAAAGCCAACCACUUUUUAGGUAGAGUCCAUUCUUAUAGAUUACACAAUGCUAACCCUAUAGCUAGAGUUGAAAAGAACAACGAUGUAGAGCAACUCUACCUUUUAGACAAUGUUCAAAGAAGAAUCCAAACAUCAAUAAUUUCUGGAAUAAAAUUUAGGAGACUAACUUCUUAGCCUUGUAUUCUCUGCGAACUCUCCUGAGCUCUACAGUCUGGGGGAAGGAUCCAAUGGUGGUGGUUGGCAGGAUUGGGAGGUUAAGCUUCUUCUGCUGAGCAUCUAACCUAGCGCUAACAUUAGUUGCACGACGGUGGUCUGAGCCCUUCAAAGCAGCAGCCUGAGAUAACAAAUCAGAAACCAUCUCGAUCAAUAAAUGCUAAGGAGAAAUCAGUGACUGUGGAGAUGGCUGAGGUUUGCGCCAAACUUACAGCCUUCUGGACACCCUCGUUGGUGACUCUUGGGGAAGACCUCCUUGAAGCCAAAGCAGCAGCGUUGGCGGAGAAAAGGGCCUGAAAGGGAAUACAAUAUUAGCAUUCUAGUGUUUACUAAAUCAUUUACAUUGCAAAACUAUUCAAGGAUUUAAUAAAGUAGGUGGAUAAAAUUUCUACCUCAUCCUUCUGACCAGCCAAAGCCUUGGCCAGUGCGUUCACUUCAACGAUCUUCUGGGCAGCAAACGCCAACCAUGACUUGAUUUCGUCGUCAAGCUUGGUCUCGUUUACAAGAUCGACAGCGGUGUGGAGAAGAGAGCAGGAGGUUGAGACCACAAGCUUGUCUGAAUCAAUGCAGAAAGAUAACAGAUCAACGUUUGAAAUAUUUGUUUAGUAUAUUUUCGGGUGACUCAGGUAAAAGGCAGGCGAUUCUGGAAGCACUUAUUUACCUUUUCCAACAACACCCUCAAGUGCCUCCAAGGUGCUGAGAGACGCAGCAAAGUCAUUGGCCCAGAUGUUCCUUCCAUCAACAACACCAGCGAAGAGGUACUUUCCCUCGGGGAAACCAGCCUUGACUAAAUCAAGGGUCUUUGUGCCACGAACCAAGUCAAAUCCAAAGGCAGUCACACCCUUCAACGAAGUUAGGGUCUUGUAUGCUUCAGCAGGGAUAUCAGCGAAGUAGGUCUCAACAAGAACAUUCAAACCAGACAGAGUUGAUUCAAGUUCAGCAUAAGCCCCAGUGAGGGCCUGGAGUUUGUGGCCCUCAAGAUCCAUGACAAGGACAGGCUCGUCAAGCUGAAUCCAGGUGGCACCAGCUGCCUUAAGCUCUGUGAUCA